AGAGACACUAAACCUUACUUAUAAUGUUUGCAAAGGAAAAGGCACAUUCUAGAACAAUCUUUGCAACCUUAGAGCAGAUCAGAAUUGGUAAAUGAGAACCAUCGUUGAGUAAGAAGAUUCUUCAUAGUUGCAAUUUCUUUUAAGACUAGGGUAGGAAAAUCAAGAUAUUUCCAGGUGAAGGGAAAAGACGGUUGUACAUUUUGUUUUUUCCUACCUUAGAAACACUUUCAGACUUUGUUUUGGUGGGAUUUACUGUCCGACAAGAGCAAUUACUGGCUCUCA
Long non-coding RNA from Perognathus longimembris pacificus (Pacific pocket mouse), 282 nucleotides. RefSeq lists it as uncharacterized. The record is from RefSeq and is a predicted model, not a curated record. NCBI's taxonomy places the organism in Eukaryota, Metazoa, Chordata, Mammalia, Rodentia, Heteromyidae. The transcript has 3 exons.